Molecule: ribosomal RNA, 200 nt
Filed under: uncultured prokaryote
Description: partial 16S ribosomal RNA
Rfam family: Bacterial small subunit ribosomal RNA
Source: RNAcentral
GUCAAAUCAUCAUGCCCCUUAUGUCUUGGGCUUCACGCAUGCUACAAUGGCCGGUACAAAGGGCUGCAAUACCGUGAGGUGGAGCGAAUCCCAAAAAGCCGGUCCCAGUUCGGAUUGAGGUCUGCAACUCGACCUCAUGAAGUCGGAGUCGCUAGUAAUCGCAGAUCAGCAACGCUGCGGUGAAUACGUUCCCGGGUCUU